This is a long non-coding RNA of Gasterosteus aculeatus aculeatus (three-spined stickleback), 1332 nucleotides long. The record is from Ensembl. NCBI's taxonomy places the organism in Eukaryota, Metazoa, Chordata, Actinopteri, Perciformes, Gasterosteidae.
CUCAUAUGCCUUCUGGCUGUUUAUAAAGUUGUCAGUAAUGACUUGGCUAGCUGCAAAUAGCACUUGAUAUUCAUGAGGCGAUUCUACAAUCCUGUAUGUCAACACGGGGAAAACACAGAGUUCUGCCCACAAUGGUUUGUUUUAUCGUGUGCGCACGUGCGUGUGUGUGCGUGUGUGUGUGUGUGUGUGUGUGUGUGUGUGUGUGUGUGUGUGUGUGUGUGUGUGUGUGUGUGUGUGUGUGUGUGUGUAUGUGAGCGAGAGAAGGCCCUGUUUUGUUAAAUCAUGGUCUACACAUGAGCAAAGCAGAGGACAUUCCCAUUUGUCAGUGUGUGGUGCUCCAGGGGAGGACUGUGGGGGACAGCUGCUCGCUCAGGUCACGUGAACCCAAAUUUCUGUUUGGAGGGAAACCAGCUUGUCUCCAGUUGUGCCUCCUAAGGCCAUGGAAGAGCUCCCAGACCAGCCUGAGCCUGAGCAGCUCUUACUGGAGAGACACUGCACCAAGCACUGGAAAGAAAACAAAGAAAUGAAGGAAAGAGAAAACACCUCGGUACAACUGGCAAGAGAUUUUGAGCCAGCCGACAGGGAUCCAGAACUCACAAACUGGGUGACGCCAGGGAGCCGGGAUGGACGCCAGGCGUUGGUGGAGCCUGGAUGGGAACCAGGCGUCGGGGAGCCGGCGUCGGGGAGCCGGCGUCGGGGAGCCGGAGUCGGGUCAGGCUGAAGUCGGGAGAAACAGACCUUUGGCAGGUGGCUUGCAGCUAAGACAACUUCUGGCACACAAAGCUGACGUUCUUCUGGGAGUUGUGUAUGCAGCUUUUUUAUGUGAGUGUGUGUGUGUGUGUGUGUGUAUCGGCUUGGAUGGAGGCUCGCAAUAUUUCUCAGACUAAUUAACACCUCGGCAACAACAACACCAGCAUACGUUUCUGCAUAAACCUCCCAGAAGCUGAGUUUUCAGUUGAAACCCUGAGGAGGGAGCAGCUCGCCAUGUGUGCUUGGAGACUUGUGGGAAUUGUGGGUAGAGUGCUGGUGUGUUUUUGAGUAUGAGUGUCCUACCAAAGGUCAUAUUGGUCAAUUGUUGCGUUUUUAUACGCAACAAUUUAUUGGAGUGUUGUUGGUAUAUAUAGCCGAUAGCCAGCUUGGGGUCAGCGCUAGCAACUACAUCAUAUCGACAAGAUGCACAAAGAUCAGAGAUAUCAGAGUUUUUAUGGCAAACAGACAGGUGUGGGAUGCUAGUGUCUGACUUUUGAUAAAGAAUAUGUGACAUUUUUUGUCAUCUUUGUCCGUCUUGAAGCUCACGUGUACAGGCAGUAUAAUAUUAAAAGUCAAUAAGGC